Molecule: ribosomal RNA, 646 nt
Filed under: Lacticaseibacillus rhamnosus
Lineage: Bacteria; Bacillati; Bacillota; Bacilli; Lactobacillales; Lactobacillaceae
Description: bacterial SSU rRNA
Rfam family: Bacterial small subunit ribosomal RNA
Source: RNAcentral
AGUCUGAUGGAGCAACGCCGCGUGAGUGAAGAAGGCUUUCGGGUCGUAAAACUCUGUUGUUGGAGAAGAAUGGUCGGCAGAGUAACUGUUGUCGGCGUGACGGUAUCCAACCAGAAAGCCACGGCUAACUACGUGCCAGCAGCCGCGGUAAUACGUAGGUGGCAAGCGUUAUCCGGAUUUAUUGGGCGUAAAGCGAGCGCAGGCGGUUUUUUAAGUCUGAUGUGAAAGCCCUCGGCUUAACCGAGGAAGUGCAUCGGAAACAGGGAAACUUGAGUGCAGAAGAGGACAGUGGAACUCCAUGUGUAGCGGUGAAAUGCGUAGAUAUAUGGAAGAACACCAGUGGCGAAGGCGGCUGUCUGGUCUGUAACUGACGCUGAGGCUCGAAAGCAUGGGUAGCGAACAGGAUUAGAUACCCUGGUAGUCCAUGCCGUAAACGAUGAAUGCUAGGUGUUGGAGGGUUUCCGCCCUUCAGUGCCGCAGCUAACGCAUUAUGCAUUCCGCCUGGGGAGUACGACCGCAAGGUUGAAACUCAAAGGAAUUGACGGGGGCCCGCACAAGCGGUGGAGCAUGUGGUUUAAUUCGAAGCAACGCGAAGAACCUUACCAGGUCUUGACAUCUUUUGAUCACCUGAGAGAUCAGGUUUCCC